Long non-coding RNA from Varanus komodoensis (Komodo dragon), 205 nucleotides. RefSeq lists it as uncharacterized. The transcript has 3 exons. NCBI's taxonomy places the organism in Eukaryota, Metazoa, Chordata, Lepidosauria, Squamata, Varanidae. The record is from RefSeq and is a predicted model, not a curated record.
AGGUGUCCUGGCAUGAUUUUGAUGGUUGGAAUCUGUUCAGAAUGGGAAGAAAUGAUGAGCUGUGCAGAAAAAGCUAUUCAAUGUAGGCUUUUUAUAAAUCACAUGAUUUUCAAAGUAUCUUUAGCUCUGUACUAGGGUUAGGGGUUGCACCCGGGUAGGGUUAGGGUAAGUAAAAUGAGGUGUCCUGGCAAGGUAUAGAUGGAAG